This 486-nucleotide ribosomal RNA is filed under the name uncultured bacterium. Its description in RNAcentral is "partial 16S ribosomal RNA". It matches the Rfam family "Bacterial small subunit ribosomal RNA", at positions 30 to 507 of the family's 1533-position model. The record is from RNAcentral.
AUUGAACGCUGGCGGCAUGCCUUACACAUGCAAGUCGAACGGCAGCACGGGUGCUUGCACCUGGUGGCGAGUGGCGAACGGGUGAGUAAUACAUCGGAACAUGUCCUGUAGUGGGGGAUAGCCGGGCGAAAGCCGGAUUAAUACCGCAUACGAUCUACGGAUGAAAGCGGGGGCCCUUCGGGCCUCGCGCUAUAGGGUUGGCCGAUGGCUGAUUAGCUAGUUGGUGGGGUAAAGGCCUACCAAGGCGACGAUCAGUAGCUGGUCUGAGAGGACGACCAGCCACACUGGGACUGAGACACGGCCCAGACUCCUACGGGAGGCAGCAGUGGGGAAUUUUGGACAAAGGGCGAAAGCCUGAUCCAGCAAUGCCGCGUGUGUGAAGAAGGCCUUCGGGUUGUAAAGCACUUUUGUCCGGAAAGAAAUCCUUGGCUCUAAUACAGUCGGGGGAUGACGGUACCGGAAGAAUAAGCACCGGCUAACUACGUG